Molecule: ribosomal RNA, 492 nt
Filed under: uncultured bacterium
Lineage: Bacteria
Description: bacterial SSU rRNA
Rfam family: Bacterial small subunit ribosomal RNA
Source: RNAcentral
GAUUCUGGCUCAGGAUGAACGCUGGCGGCGUGCUUAACACAUGCAAGUCGAACGAAGCAGCUUCUGCUUGCAAGAAAGUUGACUUAGUGGCGGACGGGUGAGUAACGCGUGGGUAACCUGCCUCAUACAGGGGGAUAACAGUUGGAAACGACUGCUAAGACCGCAUAACCCGCUAGUGUCGCAUGACACGGACGGAAAAUAUUUAUAGGUAUGAGAUGGGCCCGCGUCUGAUUAGCUAGUUGGUAAGGUAACGGCUUACCAAGGCGACGAUCAGUAGCCGACUUGAGAGAGUGAUCGGCCACAUUGGGACUGAGACACGGCCCAAACUCCUACGGGAGGCAGCAGUGGGGAAUACUGGACAAUGGGGGAAACCCUGAUCCAGCCGACGCCGCGUGAGUGAAGAAGUAUUUCGGUAUGUAAAGCUCUAUCAGCAGGGAAGAUAAUGACAGUACCUGACUAAGAAGCCCCGGCUAACUACGUGCCAGCCGCCGC